GACGAACGCUGGCGGCGUGCUUAACACAUGCAAGUCGAACGCUGAAGCUUGGUGCUUGCACUGGGUGGAUGAGUGGCGAACGGGUGAGUAAUAAGUGAGUAACCUGCCCUUGACUCUGGGAUAAGCCUGGGAAACUGGGUCUAAUACUGGAUACGACAUGUCACCGCAUGGUGGUGUGUGGAAAGGGUUUUGCUGGUUUUGGAUGGGCUCACGGCCUAUCAGCUUGUUGGUGGGGUAAUGGCCCACCAAGGCGACGACGGGUAGCCGGCCUGAGAGGGUGACCGGCCACACUGGGACUGAGACACGGCCCAGACUCCUACGGGAGGCAGCAGUGGGGAAUAUUGCACAAUGGGCGGAAGCCUGAUGCAGCGACGCCGCGUGAGGGAUGACGGCCUUCGGGUUGUAAACCUCUUUCAGCACGGAAGAAGCGAAAGUGACGGUACGUGCAGAAGAAGCGCCGGCUAACUACGUG
This 472-nucleotide ribosomal RNA is filed under the name uncultured bacterium. RNAcentral's name for it is "partial 16S ribosomal RNA". It matches the Rfam family "Bacterial small subunit ribosomal RNA", at positions 28 to 507 of the family's 1533-position model. The record is from RNAcentral.